UACGGGGGGGGCAAGCGUUGUUCGGAAUUACUGGGCGUAAAGGGCUCGUAGGCGGCCAACUAAGUCGGAUGUGAAAUCCCCAGGCUCAACUGGGGAGGGUCACGCGAUACUGAGCGACUCGAAGGCAGGAGAGGGUAGUGGAAUUCCCGGUGUAGUGGUGAAAUGCGUAGAUAUCGGGAGGAACACCAGUGGCGAAGGCGACUACCUGGCCUGUUUCUUGACGCUGAGGCGCGAAAGCUAGGGGAGCAAACGGG
RNAcentral lists this ribosomal RNA (254 nucleotides) under uncultured bacterium. RNAcentral describes it as "partial 16S ribosomal RNA". It matches the Rfam family "Bacterial small subunit ribosomal RNA", at positions 524 to 776 of the family's 1533-position model. The record is from RNAcentral.